This 69-nucleotide transfer RNA is filed under the name Otophryne sp. AF3571. Its description in RNAcentral is "tRNA-Gly". Lineage: Eukaryota; Metazoa; Chordata; Amphibia; Anura; Microhylidae. The record is from RNAcentral.
AUUUUCUUAGUAAAACUAUUACAGACGGCCUCCAACCAUCUAAUCUUGGUUCAACCCCAAGAGAAAAUA